AGAGGAGCUACUUUGCACAAUUUCCGUGAUUUUACAGAUUACAUUUCAAAUUUGUAGAAAUCUGCCAUGGGAAGGGGGCGCUGGCGAAGCUGGGGCCUCGUCCGCUCAGACGGUGUCGCAGGGAGCGGCCAAAGCUGGAACCAGUUCCCAAAGCGUUCAUGGUCUCGUGGUUCACCAGGACUUUGGUUCAAGACAUCAGACUCUAAUCAAUGAGUUUUGGGAGACGCGCACGCGGCCGCAUGGGCCGUCUCGAAUAGCGUUUGUCGGUAAGGAGCUGGUCCGUCUGCCCCGUCAUGUCGACAGUCCCACGUGCUGGAGAGGAUGCAGGUAUGAAACUGGGCUUUUCCUCCAUCAAAUAAAACACUUUAAAUCAAGUUCUGUGCAUAUGCUAAAAAAAAAAAAAAGACAACGACUUGAUUACUGGAGAUGAACAGUGCACCUACUCAGAGACCAACAUUAAGCGGUCUUCGAGGUGGUGGGGAGAGUAUCUGUACCAUUACCCCUGUUCUGUCUCCUUGCAUUUUGGAUUGGGCUCCCACAUGAACACUGUAGAUACAGCAGCUGUUGGACCGUUUCCAUCGCACAUCAGCAGACAUUGCCCAGCAAGAAAAAAGUUGUAUUUGGUUUUUUAAUGUGCAAGAUAACAGGACAUAAAGACUUGGGGUGGCUUACGGCUGUAAUAUGUAAUUUUUAUUUUAAGUCUGUUGAUUUAUUUGUUCAGUUUUAUGUUUGUAUCUCAACAGCGUGUUCCCUGUACUUCAUACAGCUGUUUUUCAAAGUAUGAGUUUUCCGUCGUGCUAGUGCUGAACUUCAUGGCUCCAUACAGUAGAAUUUAGAUAUUUGUGACAAGUAAGGGGUAUUUUCAAGCGGCCAUCCAGCAUUACAGUAUUUGUUAUGAAAUAAGGACAGACUUUUAGAUUCUGAUGUUACUUUUUACUCACUUAGCACUCAUGUAAUCUUAAUUACACUGCUUAAAUUAAUUCUCACUUAAAUGAGAAAAAAAUAGGACAGUGUUGGCCCCAUUUGAUUUUUAUCCAGAAUGAUAGAAUGGUUUAUUCAGUCAGCAAGGAGUCUCAGAAUAAUACAGAUUUAUCUUCUUUUGCAAGAGUAUGAUAAAUUUGAUUAAUCUGGUCUUGUGGUCAUGAAGAUUAGUCCAUCUGAUGUGGCACAGAGCUGUUUGAUGAUUGUACUAGGAGGGGUUGUUUUGAGGCCAAGACCUCUCUCUGCAGAUGCUGUGCAGGCAAUGGUGACUUCUGCUGUUAAAUGUCAGGCUCUUCUCUAGUUCUGCUUCCCACGCUGGACAUGGCUCCAGCCUUACCCUGCCUGCUCACGUGGAGAUGUUGCAAGCUUCAAGAGCUUGAAAGGGAAAGUUCAGAUUUGGCCCUGAGCUUGGACAAUGCCAGUGGUAGAUCCAAGACUGAAACCACCAAGAGAUCAGGUCUCCCCUUCCUGCGUGAGCGCUUCUGGCUUAUUUCACGUUAGAGCAUGUUUGUGUUUUCUGCUGGAUGGCAACAAGAUCCUGGAGUCCACCGUUAGCUUGACUAAGAGUUGGGUCAGGAGUCCCCUACGUGGCCGUCUGCUCCCGCUUGCAGGAAGGGAGCCCGGCGCAGCCAUCCGCAGCAGUGAGGGGAGGUGAAGUGGCAGAGACCUCGGUGACACCCUUUGCAAACGGGGCGGUAUGGCAUUUGGAGCCUGUGCAAAAAUUUCGCUGGGGGGCAAAACCAUCAUUAAGAUGGUAUUCCGUAAGUGUCCGAAAUGGUGGAUAUCCCAAAGUGUCUGAGACGGUCUGGUUGCGCUGUACCCCGGGUGCCUGGAGACACCUUGGAAGGUGUGCUGCUUCACCAGGGACUUCUCCAAUACUUUACCCAUCUUUUCACCUGCUAAGCAAAGCCUUCAACACGGCAACGAGCAAGAGGGACAAAGCACAGCUCGGGUCUCUUACACAGCACAAGGCUUUGUGUCAUCUGAGUUAUAGGACAUCAGAUUACUGCAAGAGGUAUCUCCUUGCGAAGGAGAUGUGCCCAAACCUAUCUGACACCUGAGGCCGCCUGAAAUCAAACCGCGGUGCUGCCUGUUGAAUAUGCUACUUUGGACCCGCUGGAACUGAGCAGACAUCCAAGAAGGACUUGGAGGCUAAAUUUUGGUUUUGGCUUGGUUGAAAGAUCUGCAUUCCCAGGCACGGUGGGUUUCCCCCGUGGACCUUUAUCGUCUCCUGGCUGCAUGGACCGUUACUGGCUUGGGGAUGAAGUGUGAAGGGCAGAAACUCGCUGUGCACAGCCCGAGUGUCGGGAGAUGCUGCGUCUGCUCCGCUCCUGCCCCAGCCCGACAUCCUGUGCGACCUGCAAGCAAAUCACCCGGUCUCUUUGCAUCGCCGUACCUAGCCAUCCUCGUUCGGGGUAAUUAGAGCUUCCUCGCUCGUAGGGUGCUGGUAGGGGAACUUCAAGCUGCGGUGGUGGAUUCACACGUCGAAGUGGAGCCCCGCGUGCUGUGCUGUGCUCCACGAGAGGAAGCAGCUUGUGGGAAAGCGCUUGAUACAUGCUUUAUACCCAGAAGAGGCGUGGGAUGAAGCCAGGGCUGGGAAACUUUCCCCGUGGCAGUGGGCAUGCGGAGGAGGUUUCUGGAGGAGCAGCAGUUGAUGGUCCGCACACCCAGCAGCUCCGGUGCUCCCGACCAGCGGCUGGGCGACGGCCAAGGGAAGGCUCUGGCCAUCCGGCGGCUGUUGGGUGUCUAACGUGACAAGGGAACACCACAGGGAAAUGUGGAAGACAGACGGUCGAGUUAGUCCUGAAUCUGCAUUCAGGUUCGCAGCCAUGUGUUUUGCAACCGGUAAAGAUGAAGAUCUUAAUUUUGGCAUUUCCUGUGCAUUCUGCAGCCAGGACACAGCCCGUGUCUGCUCUGUGUAAGAGCCUUGGGAACGCUGGCGUGCCGGGUGUGUAUUUUUAGGUCACUUCCAGAGAAGUGGAUUCGCUUCGAUGGAACCAGCCCACCGCCUCGGCACUCAGCCGCGUUGUGGUGAGGAUGAAGGACAGUUUCCACCUCACAUCGUCUCGCUGUCGCAGGUUUUGACUUUGCUCACACGUCUGCUACUGCUUGAUCUACCUUCACUGACGCUCAGACUCUGACCCUGCCAAGAUCGUUAUCACACCAUCUCUGGAUUUCAGUGGCCAAACGCUCAAAAGCCGGGGCCCCCAGCAAGGGCUUCCUCUGCCUAACACAAAAUAAAGACCAACCUCUGCUGAACUGACUCAUCCCCCUGUAAUCCCUCUCUUCAGGAGGUCUCUCUGCCUUCCUGGAACCGCCUGGUUCAUUAGGAAUCGGGCCCUUGAAUGUGUUAGAAAUGUAGACCUCCUAUUCCCACAGGCGUGGCAGAAUGGAUGUGCAUGUUGUGUCUUAAUAAUCUGGUCUUCUGGGGUUGUCAGACUGUUUGAAGGAGGUUUGAAAUGGGGACCAGUUUUAUCCCACACCAGGCAUUGGGUCCUCACUUAACUAACUGUGCAACUCCAUAUAGAUUUCUCAGCCUAAAAUAUAGUACUAUACAGUGAUCGGAUAUUAUUUAGAAAGUAUUCGGUAAGUAACAUCUGCUGCCCUGAAAAUUAAAUUAAGGGUGUUAAAUAGGAGUUUAAAGAAGACAGGUUUGGGGAAAAAAAAAUCUUUGAAGGUACCUAUUUUAGCUCAGAUUUCAAAUUUAAAUUUCCUCAAAGAUGUUGGCAGGAUUCAUUUCUCCUUUGUACAUGUAACAUAUUUGUUCAUAUAUGCCAUUAUACAGCUCCUUUCAAGCUGAAUAUUAUACUGGAAUACAGCAAAAGCCAAAUUUAAGAUAUGAAACUGGAGGAGACCAUAUUUCAUACUGCAUAAAAUGCACCUCUGGAAUUUUCAGUUCUUCUUUUCUGCAGUAUUACAAAUGCCUUUAUAAAGUAUCAUGGCUGAUGAGCUUAAAAAAAAAAAAAAACACCUGUGGCUUUGGAUAUAUUCACUUCAAGUUUGUGGUUAAUAUUUCCCAGCCUGCUUAGAGGUGAGUGUAAGUUCAGUCAUCGCACCAGUCUCUGCUGGUGUUUCUAAAUGACUCUGAUAAAAGAUUGUGAAAAAUGGACCUGUGGUAAGUUGCAUCAUCCUUGUUAUGCAUUUUAAGAUGGGGACACAACCCAAGCUGAGUGUCC
Long non-coding RNA from Pygoscelis adeliae (Adelie penguin), 4157 nucleotides. RefSeq lists it as uncharacterized. The transcript has 3 exons. The record is from RefSeq and is a predicted model, not a curated record. Lineage: Eukaryota; Metazoa; Chordata; Aves; Sphenisciformes; Spheniscidae.